RNAcentral lists this ribosomal RNA (253 nucleotides) under uncultured bacterium. RNAcentral's name for it is "partial 16S ribosomal RNA". It matches the Rfam family "Bacterial small subunit ribosomal RNA", at positions 524 to 776 of the family's 1533-position model. The record is from RNAcentral.
UACAGAGGUCUCAAGCGUUGUUCGGAUUCAUUGGGCGUAAAGGGUGUGUAGGUGGCGCGCUAAGUCGGGUGUGAAAUUUCGGAGCUUAACUCCGAAACUGCCUUUGAUACUGGCGGUCUCGAGUCCGGGAGAGGUGAGUGGAACUGCGAGUGUAGAGGUGAAAUUCGUAGAUAUUCGCAAGAACACCAGUGGCGAAGGCGGCUCACUGGCCCGGUACUGACGCUGAGGUGCGAAAGCGUGGGGAGCAAACAGG